AACUUGGAGUCUGGGAUAGCGUACAAAGGCUGGCUAAAAAAAGAUUUGGGUUAAUCUUGUGCGUUGCUACUUGUUGGCCUCUACAAGGGUAAAAAAAAAAUUCUAUAUCGAGCACCAUAGUACUCGUCAUCAUAAAAAAAUAUGCCCAAUUGGACGCAUAGCACUAUAUUCAUAGUGUGUGGAUGGGUGUCAUUUGCUAUGUGGUUACUUGUUCAGGUAACCUUUCUGUAUAUGGUCUAAUCAGAUGGAGAGCUUGGCUUAACAUCAAUGAGGAAGUGACUAACCCAGCUUACUGAGAGUUUUUCUGGAGACACCAAAGUUUUCCUUCCUGUCAUGGCAUCUGAUCUUAAUCCAGUUCUCCUCAACACAUAUGGAGUCAUGGAUAAUCACGUAAAAUUCAACGACCACUAGAGGGAUUCUGCUGCUUGCUUGACUAAUCAAACCAACUGAUAUCCACCAUUAAACCUACUUCUGUAACAAUAUUUCCUCUACAAAGACCAAAUCAUGAACCCAUCAUUUCAUGCUUGAUUGGUGAAAACAGUCGGAACCACCUAUUGCAAUUUAAUCCUACUAAAAUUUAGUAAGACUUGGUCAUUUUAGCUGCACUUUCAGAGUUCAGACCUAUUUCCCAAACCAUUGGACCUCUAAGAACCUAUUGCUUCUCCUUCCACUGCAAACCCUGUUGUUUCCUCUGCAAAUUCACCAUUUGUGAGCUUUCUGUCUACUAGUGAUGUCUCUUUGAUUAUUUUAUGGCCAACAUUUACUAUUAACUUGUAAACGAUACUUGAAUGGGAUGCAAGAAGUUAAAUGAUCACAAAAACUACAUUGUGGACCUCUGAAACGCAGUGAGCGGUACAAGAACCUUUGGAACGCAGUGAGCUGUACAAGAACCUCUGCAACAUAUGAACGAAGAAAUUGCUUGAAGACCCUGAUUCUCUGGCUACACUACUAUUUUCAAGAUGCUGUAAGGAAACAUGCAAGAUUGCUGACAUCCCAAAGCUUUCUAUGGAAUGAUAAUGCUGACAAGGAAGGUUGCUUUCAGGAAGGUCAAGGACGAUCAAUGAAUGGCACUCAAGGCGUUCCCUGGGCAAGCCAAGAGAUUCACCCUGCAUAGAGAUAGGUCAAAAGCAAAAGACUAAAGACAAGGGUCCCAGCUGAAGCGAUUAUAGUACAGAGGCAAAUGUGGGUUCCAAUCUUUCUUCUUGUACGAGACUUGGCUGGAGUAGGAAGAAAAGGGCUAGUUUGUCGACCACAAAAUAGAAAGAUCUAUGCCUUCCUCACUAGCUCUCAAAGUGUCUUCCUUGAAGGUAAUAAGGCUGGUUUACUUCUCAACUUACUGCGGGUGAAAGAACAACUGAUGAAGCCAGGGGUAGAGAAGCUCAUCGACAUUCUCUCUAGCACAGAAGCAUAGUUAUGAGGAGUUCCGACGGCUUUCGAGGGAGAGUCUGACAAAUCAUCAACACUGCAUUGUCAAAUACGGCUCUGAAUUUGGAGUUAGAUUUAUUUAUUUUAUUAAUUUAUUUGUGGAUUAGUUCUUUGAACCACGACAUGCUGUUUCGUGAUGAUACUCAUUGAAGUUGCAGUUAGAAAUCAGAAGACAUCUGCAGUGUGAUUAUAUGGAGGAAGACUGGCUAGAAAAUAUUAUGGUUUGUAUGUUUUAAUAAUUGAGCUUCUUCUUUAUACUA
Molecule: long non-coding RNA, 1685 nt
Organism: Cornus florida
Lineage: Eukaryota; Viridiplantae; Streptophyta; Magnoliopsida; Cornales; Cornaceae
Exons: 4
Source: RefSeq, a predicted model, not a curated record